Eleginops maclovinus (Patagonian blennie) is the source of this 774-nucleotide long non-coding RNA. RefSeq lists it as uncharacterized. The record is from RefSeq and is a predicted model, not a curated record. Lineage: Eukaryota; Metazoa; Chordata; Actinopteri; Perciformes; Eleginopidae. The transcript is spliced from 3 exons.
UUCUGUUUGGGACUCAGGAGAUGUGAAUGGAAGGUUGCUUUGGCACAGUGGAAACCAUUUUUAUGUUCAGUAUGAUUAAAAUAAAAGCUGUCUUUAUCGAGGUCAAGAGGACAUGAUGUGCCCUGAAGGCUCUCGCUGUGCCUGAAGACUGAACACAGAGAAUCCUGCAGGAGUUGAUGCGGAGACGUGACCCCACAUCCACCUGACACGAGGAUUUGAGAGUUUCGAGGUGUAAAUAAAUCCCACACUAACAUGAACCCUCAUUAUACUUCCUUUAAUCUAACCAAACCAACUAAAACCAUUCCCAUAUCUUCGCUCUUUGACAAAUCUCUGCCUUAUACCCAAAUCACAGAUAAAUACAUUUGAAUUAUAAUAAUCUUAUUGCUGAAGUUACCAUUAAAACCUGUAAUAUGCAAAGGAAUUAAGUGAAGGACUACUCAAACCUUUUAUGUCUCUGUCAGAAGUAAAAGUAGCUUCAUCCAGCUGAUUUAAAGAGUGGUAUUAUUAUAAGAAAUAUUACAUUUUGAUUAUUUAACGUGUAAAAACCAUUUGUUAUAUCUUAGCAUUCUACAAAAAUGGAUGUUAUAUGAUUAACAGAUACUGCAGGAAGCUGGUUAAAUGCCAAAGGUGCUUUAAAUAAAGUCAUGCAUUGAAGAUCUUACUCAAGGAGAAGUAUGCACAAUGAAGUAGAAGGCAGUCAUUUGCAAAACAUUUUUCAUCAUUCUGACUGAAUCAAAUUAAAAGCUGAUUUUGGUUAAGCCUGUAAAAUGCAAA